GCGAAGUGAUGAUGAUGUUUAUCCAUUCUCAGAGCCACCGCCCCCUCUCCCCACCACGGCCGCUCCCCCCCCAGCGUCUUGCCGGGCGGGGGAGUAAGCUCAGCUCCCAUUGGCCAACGGUCUUUGGGAGCCGAGUGCCGAUUGGUCGGCGGAGGAGGGGGCAGGCGGGGUUGGGGGGGGGGGGGGCCUCCGGCCCCCCCCACUGCCCCCCCCCUCCCCGUCGGCUGAGAUGAGUCGACUUUUCUGAUCGC
This is a non-coding RNA of Petromyzon marinus (sea lamprey), 251 nucleotides long. NCBI's taxonomy places the organism in Eukaryota, Metazoa, Chordata, Hyperoartia, Petromyzontiformes, Petromyzontidae. The record is from RefSeq and is a predicted model, not a curated record.